Molecule: ribosomal RNA, 478 nt
Filed under: uncultured bacterium
Lineage: Bacteria
Description: partial 16S ribosomal RNA
Rfam family: Bacterial small subunit ribosomal RNA
Source: RNAcentral
GACGAACGCUGGCGGCGUGCUUAACACAUGCAAGUCGAACGGUAAGGCCCUUCGGGGUACACGAGUGGCGAACGGGUGAGUAACACGUGGGUGAUCUGCCCUGCACUUCGGGAUAAGCCUGGGAAACUGGGUCUAAUACCGGAUAGGACCACUGCCUGCAUGGGUGGUGGUGGAAAGCUUUUGCGGUGUGGGAUGGGCCCGCGGCCUAUCAGCUUGUUGGUGGGGUGAUGGCCUACAAGGGCGACGACGGGUAGCCGGCCUGAGAGGGUGACCGGCCACGCUGGGACUGAGAUACGGCCCAGACUCAUACGGGAGGCAGAAGUGGGGAAUAGUGCACAAUGGGCGCAAGCCUGAUGCAGCGACGCCGCGUGAGGGAUGACGGCCUUCGGGUUGUAAACCUCUUUCAGCACCGACGAAGCGCAAGUGACGGUAGGUGCAGAAGAAGGACCGGCCAACUACGUGCCAGCCGCCGCCGUAA